This 400-nucleotide ribosomal RNA is filed under the name uncultured bacterium. Its description in RNAcentral is "bacterial SSU rRNA". It matches the Rfam family "Bacterial small subunit ribosomal RNA", at positions 28 to 424 of the family's 1533-position model. The record is from RNAcentral.
AGUGAACGCUGGCGGCAGGCCUAAUACAUGCAAGUCGAACGGCAGCACAGCAGAGCUUGCUCUGUGGGUGGCGUGUGGCGGACGGGUGAGGAAUACAUGGGAAUCUGCCCAGUCGUGGGGGAUAACGUAGGGAAACUUACGCUAAUACCGCAUGCGCCCUUCGGGGGAAAGCCGGGGACCUUCGGGCCUGGCGCGAUUGGAUGAGCCCAUGUCGGAUUAGCUAGUUGGCGGGGUAAUGGCCCACCAAGGCGACGAUCCGUAGCUGGUCUGAGAGGAUGAUCAGCCACACUGGAACUGAGACACGGUCCAGACUCCUACGGGAGGCAGCAGUAGGGAAUAUUGGACAAUGGGCGCAAGCCUGAUCCAGCCAUGCCGCGUGAGUGAAGAAGGCCCUCGGGUU